UCAUUCUGAGCAUUGGAUCACAGCAUCCACCUUGGGAAAGGCACUGGCCCAGCAAGAGCAGAGCAGCCUUCAGUACACAGAAACCUUUGAGGUGGGCACCAACAGCUAAGGUUCAGUGUUUGGCAAAGAAGCAGUGAGAAGGUGACAGAAUGGAUGUAAAGAGCGGAUAAGCAGGUACAACUUUGACUCCCCCUGCGCCCAGUGUGGGAUCCUGAGGAGCUGACUCAGGAGGAAACAGCCUUCUGCAUCUGAGGAGUCACAUCCCGGUUGUCCCACCAACGUUCACCAUUGCUGCAUGUUAUUUCAACUAAGACUCAACUAAAGCUGAAAAGAAAAUUGGGAAAACAGAAGAAAAGGAGAAGUCAAUGGUUUUGUGAGACUAAAAGUGAAAGCCAGGAACAGG
Long non-coding RNA from Chroicocephalus ridibundus (black-headed gull), 403 nucleotides. RefSeq lists it as uncharacterized. The transcript is spliced from 3 exons. Lineage: Eukaryota; Metazoa; Chordata; Aves; Charadriiformes; Laridae. The record is from RefSeq and is a predicted model, not a curated record.